CGACAAGCGGUGGAGCAUGUGGUUAAUUCGAUGAUACGCGAGGAACCUUACCUGGGCUCAAAUGUAUGUUGACGUAUUCUGAAAGGGAUACUUCUUCGGACAAUAUACAAGGUGCUGCAUGGUUGUCGUCAGCUCGUGCCGUGAGGUGUCGGGUUAAGUCCCAUAACGAGCGCAACCCUACCUUUAGUUGCCAUCAGGUAAUGCUGGGGACUCUAAAGGAACUGCCUACGCAAGUAGUGAGGAAGGCGGGGAUGACGUCAAAUCAGCACGGCCCUUACGUCCAGGGCUACACACGUGCUACAAUGGCCGAUACAGAGGGCAGCUACCUGGUGACAGGAUGCAAAUCUCCAAAGUCGGUCUCAGUUCGGAUCGGAGUCUGCAACCCGACUCCGUGAAGUUGGAUUCGCUAGUAAUCGCGCAUCAGCCAUGGCGCGGUGAAUACGUUCCCGGGCCUU
Molecule: ribosomal RNA, 455 nt
Filed under: uncultured Sphingobacteriales bacterium
Lineage: Bacteria; Pseudomonadati; Bacteroidota; Sphingobacteriia; Sphingobacteriales
Description: bacterial SSU rRNA
Rfam family: Bacterial small subunit ribosomal RNA
Source: RNAcentral